This 93-nucleotide small nucleolar RNA is filed under the name Ricinus communis (castor bean). RNAcentral describes it as "Small nucleolar RNA snoR31/Z110/Z27". It matches the Rfam family "Small nucleolar RNA snoR31/Z110/Z27". Rfam says of the family: This family contains several related snoRNAs including R31, Z27 and Z110. Family members belong to the C/D class of snoRNAs which contain the C (UGAUGA) and D (CUGA) box motifs. The record is from Rfam by way of RNAcentral. Lineage: Eukaryota; Viridiplantae; Streptophyta; Magnoliopsida; Malpighiales; Euphorbiaceae.
AGAAUCAAGAUGAUGAAAUCAGGAAAUCUUAGGACACCUUCUGACACAGUACCAUUCUGUGUAUGAGAAAAGAUUUUCGAUUCUGAUAAUUCA